Ricinus communis (castor bean) is the source of this 1930-nucleotide long non-coding RNA. RefSeq lists it as uncharacterized. Lineage: Eukaryota; Viridiplantae; Streptophyta; Magnoliopsida; Malpighiales; Euphorbiaceae. The transcript has 3 exons. The record is from RefSeq and is a predicted model, not a curated record.
AAUUAAUAAAAACUAUUAAUAUUUAUAAAAAUAUCUUUAAAUAAAAUUUAUAAAAAUUAUUUAUAAAAUUAUGAAUUAUGUAUCAUCUUUAAAAAUAAUUCAUUUAAAAAUUCCAAUUGAAUACACCACCGAACUUAGCUACUUAGUCCGUCGGUGUUGGUUUUAAACUCAACCUACCUCGCAUCUUCUUCCCUUCAGAUACGGGCCGAAGGUGCAAAACCCUAAUAGUAGGGUUUUAUCCCUGCGCGGAGCUUUUCAUUUCCAUUUAACUUUAUAGAAACGUGAAUUCUGCUACUCUCCAUUCUAUCAAGGCCCUCUUUAUCCAUUCUUGUGCUUAGAAGAAACCAAUUCGGUAAACAUAGACAGUGCCAACUUAAUGAGUUGGAAGAUUGGCGUAACCAAGCGUAUGGCAACUUGUUAAUCUACAAGGAGCAUACCAAGAAGUGGCAUGAUGAGAGGCUAAGGAGCACCAAGGAGUUCCAAGUUAAGGAUAGUGUGUUAUUAUAUAACUCACGACUUUGGCUCUUUCCUGGGAAGCUAAAGAGCCAUCAGUCAGGAUCGUUCACUGUCCAAUAAGUUUUCCCGUAUGGCAUAGUGGAAUUGCACCAUCCGCAUAAGGGAAACUUCAAGGUCGAUGGGCAUAGGUUGAAGCAUUACUAUGGUGACUCAUUGGAGCUCGAGGAGCGAGUCAACCUUGUACUGUAUUAACAAAAGUAACUCAAGCAUUAUGAGUCCAGCUAAAUGACUCGGGGAAAAAAGAAGCGCUUUUGGGAGGCACCCUAACUUUUAUUUUAUGUUUUUGGACAUUUUGAUCAUUGGUUUGGAACAUUAUCUUUUUAGUUUAGUCUUCAUUUUCAUUUAAUUUUUGAGCUUUAUAUACCAUUUGAGUGUUUAGAGAUAUGUGGAAGGUAGCUUGAAUAUUUGACUGUUGAAAAUUGCAGGAAAUUGCACGUGAAAAAGUGCAUGAAACGAAUUUUGGGUUUCAGCACGAUCUUAGUGGCUCAAUACACCCACGGAGCACACUCGUGCUAUUCAACACGGAUGUGUUAUAGGCAACCAAACCUUGCUAAGAGAAACAUGUAAUUUCAGAGUAACACGGUUUGUGGACACGACCGUGUGAUGCAACACGCCCGUGUUGAGCUGAAAUGGUAAUUCAGCACGUCUUCCAAGAGUAGCAGGGGUUGUGAACACGGGCCGUGUCAGGAAACACGAUCAUGUUUUGGGCACCUAAACCGUGUUGACAGAAAAAAUGGACCUCAGCACGUUUUCCGCAACCAACACAUGCUGGGAGAUUGGUCGUGCUAAACAUCACGGCUUGGAACACGGUCGUGCUAGCCUAAACAUCUAUAUAAGCCGCACUAUAUCGCAGGUAUUAUGGCUGAACGGCGUGAGAGACCCCAAAAGUUGGGUGUCUGCAAGACACAAUCGACCCAUCUCCACCUGCACCUGCACCUAGAGCUCCAGCUCCCGCACGACAUAGACUUUUACAGUUUCAGUGCCUCACUCAUGAGGCUCGUUACCAGCAGCUGCGGCACAAGAAGUUAGGCUUUGGGAGAUGCAUUGGUUGGCAGGCAUUGGAGAUGGUCGGCAUAGCCACUAAGGUCCGAGAGAUACUUCAGACUCCACCUUUUGAGGCCUUCUUCAGCAUUGUGGAGCCACUUAUAGGGAGCUCACACUUCAGUUCGCCUCUACUUUCUUUCUUCAGGCCAAGAUCAAGGACUGGUCGCAGCCAGAAGCCAUUUCGUUUCGGUUAGGAGGGCGAAAUUGCAUGAUGAGUAUUCCCCAGUUUGGUGCUGCACUUGGCCUCUAUGACCAGGCGACCAUAGAGUCAGAUGAUUUCAGAGGCUCCUUUGUACAAUCCAGGAGUUUCUUUUGACAAGGCUUGGGAGACCAUCUCAGAGGGGGACGAGCGUUACUACCCGAGCAAGUC